AACUGCUACAGGUGCUAAAAAAGGAACAGUGUUUUUGCACUUCAUCAGCCUUAAACAAAUGUAAGGAUGCAGAACACAGUAUUUUUUUUAAUGGCAGUAGAAUUCAAUCUCUAUGCGGUUGUUUCCUUUAAGUAAUAUUAAAAGCUGAGAUACAGAAGUAAGUCAGUGCCAGGAAUGAAGUAACGGUUUAGAUAAAAUGGUGCUGACUCGGGUCUUAUUCAUCCCAACAACUUUUAAACCCUCCCUGGGUCUCUCGCAGAGCCUUGCUGACCACUAACAGAGACCAGCUACAGGCAGGGCUCCUCUGCUUUAAAACGAAACACAUGACUCGUGAGCGCGGUGCCAAGUCCGGGAGAGCAGGGAGGGCGGGCCGUCCCCGGGCCCCUGGGCCCCCGGCCCCGGCCCCCGGCCCCCGGCCCCCGCCGGCCCGGAAGGGUGGGUGGUGGGUGGGUCCUCCUAUAAUUAGCCGGGGGAGUGCAUCCCCAGUCCACUUCUUGCUGCCGCUCCGAAGGCACCUCUAGUUCUGCCUGAUCUCCGAGGGUGGCUGGGCCCUUGGUUCUCUCUGAUCACAGUGAGACUGCAGGGGGUGGGCAAGACCCCGAGCAGCUUCCCCCACCGCCAAAGCAGGGCGAGGACCCGCUGCUCUGCCCCUGGGAGGUGCGCUGUCCGAUAUGCUGGGGAUCAUGACAGUCACAGACCCUGAGCACACACCCUCCUCUAAUGAAUGCAUCAGACCUUGAAGGAUGGGAUCAUUGAUUAUUCACACCACAUACUCUUGGCCUUUCUUGACGUCUUUCCUUCACAUCAUGUUAGCAAUAACUUAGUUCAAAAACUAGAAAACAAGUGAUUUGACCCGAUGAUGAUGAAAGAGGUGUCCCCUCCCCACGUGUAUAUCAAUGGCAUGCCAGCAAAAAAAAAAAGAAAAGAAAAGAAAAGCUUUUUGAAUUCGGAAAA
Molecule: non-coding RNA, 954 nt
Organism: Vicugna pacos (alpaca)
Lineage: Eukaryota; Metazoa; Chordata; Mammalia; Artiodactyla; Camelidae
Source: RefSeq, a predicted model, not a curated record